UAACGAAUCUUCCGCAAUGCACGAAAGUGUGACGGAGCGACGCCGCGUGUGGGACGAAGCCCUUCGGGGUGUAAACCACUGUCAGGGGAUAGAAAGUUCUGAUCAUCCCCAGAGGAAGGCACGGCUAACUCUGUGCCAGCAGCCGCGGUAAGACAGAGGUGCCAAGCGUUAGGCGGAAUCACUGGGCUUAAAGCGUGUGUAGGUGGAAGCGUAAGUACCUUGUGAAAUCCCACGGCUUAACCGUGGAACUGCUUGGUAUACUGCGUUUCUUGAGCCAACUAGGGGCUAUCGGAACAAGUGGUGGAGCGGUGAAAUGCGUAGAUAUCACUUGGAACGCCAAUGGUGAAAACAGAUAGCUGGGGUUGUGCUGACACUGAGACACGAAAGCCAGGGGAGCAAACGGGAUUAGAUACCCCCGUAGUCC
RNAcentral lists this ribosomal RNA (424 nucleotides) under uncultured bacterium. Its description in RNAcentral is "bacterial SSU rRNA". It matches the Rfam family "Bacterial small subunit ribosomal RNA", at positions 355 to 796 of the family's 1533-position model. The record is from RNAcentral.